RNAcentral lists this long non-coding RNA (1418 nucleotides) under Homo sapiens (human). RNAcentral describes it as "HSALNT0093807". The record is from RNAcentral. Lineage: Eukaryota; Metazoa; Chordata; Mammalia; Primates; Hominidae.
CUGUCUUACUAAUUUUAUGUAAUUCCUUUUCACAUGUUUCGUGAGGCUGAUAAAAUGCUUCGUAAGCAGGUAUUCAUGUGGCUCUAUAACAAGUUAUUUUUAGGAAGCUUAUAUACAAAAAUACUUGCCACACUUUCUCUCACUCUCUGGACAGUCAGACAAGAAGGCUCACUUUCUCCAGGAAUCUCCUAGUGCCAGGUUCUGGGCUGUGGACACCAUGCUGGCCAGAGGAAGCUGCUGCACAGUGUCUUCCUUUGGCUUUGGUAUCAAGGUAAUGCUGGCCUCAUAAGUUGUCUCCCUUUAUCCAUGAGGGACAUCUUCCAAGGCCCCCAGUGGAUGUCUGAAACCGCAGCAUACUUUUGUCCAUAAAGCAAAAUCCGAAGAUUAGUGUUAAGAAACAGGAUUUGGAACUCUCAGAACAAGGCCAUUGGGGGUGGAGAUUUCUUACCUAUGGCUUAAAGAGGCUUCCGAGGUGAUCGGGCAGCAUCAGUCUUCAGCUGCUAAGCCGAGAAGAUCUGGGAAGGAGUCAGUCAGAGAGCCGUGGGCCAGAGUUCCAGGGGCUCUGGGAGUGGCUGCCAGGUAAGUUGAACAGUCUGAUUUUCAGUGGGGUCCUGCACAGAUGGGACACGGCUUAGGAGGAAUCCCGGGCUGUGGGCAUUCCUUGGCCUGGUGGCCAGAUUCCGGCACUUGUAGCAAGCUCCUGGGGGUUCUGGAGGAACACUUGGCAGCUGCAGUUCAGGCAUUUGGAGUUCUUGUGUGCUGGAGAUGUGGCUGGGGUUUGUCUCAGUGCAGGCAAGGAAUUGCAAUUUAGAAAUAUGUUGCUACUUGGCUGCCUCUACUCUAAUAUUGUAUACCUUGAAGGUGAGGUUAAUUAAGUCUUGUUGUGAGGUUUGAGGGCCGGAAUUUAAUUUUUGGAGCUUUAUUUAAUGUUGGGAGCAGAUUCAGUAAUAAAAUAAAAUGUAUAUUGAGAAUAAGACGUCCUUUUGACCUUUUAGGGUCUAGGGCUGUAAAGUGUCUCAGGGUUGCUGCUAAUGGGGCCAUGAACUGGGCUGGGUUUUUUAUAGUUGAUGAAAAAGAGCUUAAACACUAACUGAUUUGGGACAGGUCGGAUAAAUAAAAAGGAGCAUUAACAUUGACUAUGCCUUUAGCUCCAGCCACCUUUUUAAGAGGAAAUUGCUGGGCAGGUGGGGGAGGGCUACUCAUGGAACGAAACUAUAAGACAGACCGGGUGUGAGUAGGGGAGGUGAUAAAAAGAUUAUAGGGUGUAGGAGCGGAGGCUGAGGAAGAAUUGGGACCUAGCUCGGCCUGGCGAGGAGGGGAGAGGUCAGAUGGGUCUGUAGAAAAGGAAGAUUAGAAAGAGUCAGCAACGCUUGGGGUUGGGAGUGAGGGGACAGGCGGGAGGGAAAGAAGGAAGAUUU